UACGGAGGGGGCUAGCGUUGUUCGGAAUUACUGGGCGUAAAGCGCGCGUAGGCGGCUUUGUAAGUUAGAGGUGAAAGCCCAGGGCUUAACCCUGGAAUUGCCUUUAAGACUGCAUUGCUAGAAUCGUGGAGAGGUGAGUGGAAUUCCGAGUGUAGAGGUGAAAUUCGUAGAUAUUCGGAAGAACACCAGUGGCGAAGGCGACUCACUGGACACGUAUUGACGCUGAGGUGCGAAAGCGUGGGGAGCAAACAGG
Molecule: ribosomal RNA, 253 nt
Filed under: uncultured bacterium
Lineage: Bacteria
Description: partial 16S ribosomal RNA
Rfam family: Bacterial small subunit ribosomal RNA
Source: RNAcentral